UGGGGAAUUUUGGACAAUGGGCGCAAGCCUGAUCCAGCCAUGCCGCGUGCAGGAUGAAGGCCUUCGGGUUGUAAACUGCUUUUGUACGGAACGAAAAGACUCCUUCUAAUAAAGGGGGUACAUGACGGUACCGUAAGAAUAAGCACCGGCUAACUACGUGCCAGCAGCCGCGGUAAUACGUAGGGUGCGAGCGUUAAUCGGAAUUACUGGGCGUAAAGCGUGCGCAGGCGGUUAUAUAAGACAGAUGUGAAAUCCCCGGGCUCAACCUGGGAACUGCAUUUGUGACUGUAUAGCUAGAGUACGGCAGAGGGGGAUGGAAUUCCGCGUGUAGCAGUGAAAUGCGUAGAUAUGCGGAGGAACACCGAUGGCGAAGGCAAUCCCCUGGGCCUGUACUGACGCUCAUGCACGAAAGCGUGGGGAGCAAACAGGAUUAGAUACCCUGGUAGUCCACGCCCUAAACGAUGUCAACUGGUUGUUGGGAAUUCACUUUCUCAGUAACGAAGCUAACGCGUGAAGUUGACCGCCUGGGGAGUACGGCCGCAAGGUUG
RNAcentral lists this ribosomal RNA (548 nucleotides) under uncultured Acidovorax sp. Its description in RNAcentral is "bacterial SSU rRNA". It matches the Rfam family "Bacterial small subunit ribosomal RNA", at positions 355 to 896 of the family's 1533-position model. Lineage: Bacteria; Pseudomonadati; Pseudomonadota; Betaproteobacteria; Burkholderiales; Comamonadaceae. The record is from RNAcentral.